AUUGAACGCUGGCGGCAGGCUUAACACAUGCAAGUCGAGCGGGGUGAUGGUGCUUGCACUAUCACUUAGCGGCGGACGGGUGAGUAAUGCUUAGGAAUUUGCCUAUUAGUGGGGGACAACAUCUCGAAAGGGAUGCUAAUACCGCAUACGUCCUACGGGAGAAAGCAGGGGAUCACUUGUGACCUUGCGCUAAUAGAUGAGCCUAAGUCGGAUUAGCUAGUUGGUGGGGUAAAGGCCUACCAAGGCGACGAUCUGUAGCGGGUCUGAGAGGAUGAGCCGCCAAACUGGGAAUGAGACGAGGCCCAGACUCCUACGGGAGGCAGCAGUGGGGAAUAUUGGACAAUGGGGGGAACCCUGAUCCAGCCAUGCCGCGUGUGUGAAGAAGGCCUUAUGGUUGUAAAGCACUUUAAGCGAGGAGGAGGCUCUUUUGGUUAAUACCCAAGAUGAGUGGACGUUACUCGCAGAAUAAGCACCGGCUAACUCUGUGCCAGCAGCCGCGGUAA
Molecule: ribosomal RNA, 503 nt
Filed under: uncultured bacterium
Lineage: Bacteria
Description: partial 16S ribosomal RNA
Rfam family: Bacterial small subunit ribosomal RNA
Source: RNAcentral